GCUAGCAAUGCACGCCCGUGGUUCAGCCGGCUAGUCUUGUGAGUAGUCGUGUGACGGAUCCGAACGGACCGUCGGCGGCGACUUCGCCGGGCGAGCUGUGGUGCACUCCAUGGACGUGCGCGUCAGCGUCGGUUUCCGACGAGCGAUGAGGUGCGUGGGGGAAGGUAGCUCGGUUCUUCGGGACGGAGUGUUAAGACCCUGGUGCUGGGCUCGUUGUGGGACCGAGGAGAGAGAUGAUCGCUGCGGCACCUGCCUCUCGGGGCUAGCCAGCCGUUGCCAGGUGUAGGUCAGGCGCUGAGGACUGCACGCAGUGCUCGGAUGUUGAGGCGUAAUCUGGUGGUGGUGUGGGCAUAGAGGUGCCUAGGACGCUGGCGUCCAAAUGGCCGUGCGCGACCCGUCUUGAAACACGGACCAAGGAGUCUAACAUGUGCGCGAGUCUUAGGGUGUGCAAGCCCUCGGGCGGAAUGAAAGUGAAGGUUGGGCACUAGUCCAGCUGAGGUGAGAGCCGUUGCUGGCCUGACUGCUACGGCGGCGCAUCAUCGGCCGGUCCAUCCUGCUCUCAGGAGGAUCCGAGCAAGAGCGUAUCUGUUGGGACCCGAAAGAUGGUGAACUAUGCCUGAAUAGGGUGAAGCCAGAGGAAACUCUGGUGGAGGCUCGUAGGGAUUCUAACGUGCAAAUUGAUCUCAAAAUUUGGGUAUAGGGGCGAAAGACUAAUCGAACCAUCUAGUAGCUGGUUCCCUCCGAAGUUUCCCUCAGGAUAGCUGGAACUCGUCAAGACAGUUUUAUCAGGUAAAGCGAAUGAUUAGAGGUCUUGGGGGUGAAACACCCUCAACCUAUUCUCAAACUUUAAAUCGGUAAGAAGCGCGACUUGCUUAAUUGAAGCCGCGCAGCCAAUGUGAGUUCCAAGUGGGCCAUUUUUGGUAAGCAGAACUGGCGAUGCGGGAUGAACCGAACGCUCGGUUAAGGUGCCCAAGUCGACGCUCAUCAGACCCCAGAAAAGGUGUUGGUUGAUAUAGACAGCAGGACGGUGGCCAUGGAAGUCGGAAUCCGCUAAGGAGUGUGUAACAACUCACCUGCCGAAUCAACUAGCCCUGAAAAUGGAUGGCGCUCAAGCGUCGCACCUAUACCGGGCCGUCGUCGUAAAUGCCAGGCGACGACGAGUAGGAGGGCGCGGUGGUCGUGAUGCAGCCCUUGGCGUGAGCCUGGGUCAAACGGCCUCUGGUGCAGAUCUUGGUGGUAGUAGCAAAUAUUCAAAUGAGAGCUUUGAAGACCGAAGUGGAGAAAGGUUCCAUGUGAACAGCAGUUGGACAUGGGUUAGUCGAUCCUAAGAGAUAGGGGAGCUCCGUAUCAACGUGCGCAAUCGGUCUCGUGCCGCCUUGCGCCAACCUAUCGAAAGGGAAUCGGGUUAAUAUUCCCGAACCGGAAUGCGGAUAUUCUCUGGCUUUCGGGUCAGGAGCGGCAACGCUAGCGAACCGCGAGACGUCGGCGGGGGCUCCGGGAAGAGUUGUCUUUUCUUUUUAACGCAGUCGCCAUCCCUGGAAUCGGUUUGCCCGGAGAUAGGGUUGGCUGGCUCGGUAAAGCAGCACACUUCAUGUGCUGUCCGGUGCGCUCUCGACGGCCCUUGAAAAUCGCGGGGGUGUACUGAUUUUCGCAUCCGGUCGUACUCAUAACCGCAUCAGGUCUCCAAGGU
Molecule: ribosomal RNA, 1690 nt
Filed under: Grantiopsis sp. G313969
Lineage: Eukaryota; Metazoa; Porifera; Calcarea; Leucosolenida; Lelapiidae
Description: eukaryotic LSU rRNA
Rfam family: Eukaryotic large subunit ribosomal RNA (bases 278-1690)
Source: RNAcentral